RNAcentral lists this ribosomal RNA (253 nucleotides) under uncultured bacterium. RNAcentral describes it as "partial 16S ribosomal RNA". It matches the Rfam family "Bacterial small subunit ribosomal RNA", at positions 524 to 776 of the family's 1533-position model. The record is from RNAcentral.
UACGUAGGGGGCAAGCGUUAUCCGGAUUCACUGGGCGUAAAGGGAGCGCAGGCGGCAUGGCAAGUCUGAUGUGAAAACCCGGGGCCCAACCCAGGGAGUGCAUUGGAAACUGCCAGGCUGGAGUGUCGGAGGGGUAAGCGGAAUUCCUAGUGUAGCGGUGAAAUGCGUAGAUAUUAGGAGGAACACCAGUGGCGAAGGCGGCUUACUGGACGACUACUGACGCUGAGGCUCGAAAGCGUGGGGAGCAAACAGG